RNAcentral lists this small nucleolar RNA (217 nucleotides) under Habropoda laboriosa. Its description in RNAcentral is "Small nucleolar RNA U3". It matches the Rfam family "Small nucleolar RNA U3". From Rfam's summary of the family: Small nucleolar RNAs (snoRNAs) are involved in the processing and modification of rRNA in the nucleolus. There are two main classes of snoRNAs: the box C/D class, and the box H/ACA class. Lineage: Eukaryota; Metazoa; Arthropoda; Insecta; Hymenoptera; Apidae. The record is from Rfam by way of RNAcentral.
AAGAUCAUACUUCACAGGAUCAUUUCUGUAGUGUGUCUUACUUUCCCUCUUACCUAAGUAAGAGUGGGAGCAACCACGAUGAGGAGGUAUAGCUUCCUUCCCCGAGCGUGAGGAAGACUCGAGAAAUUGACUUUUGUUUCAAGUUCUCAGUCAUCGAUGAUCGUUCACCCUUUGUACUAAGUACGAGGGGGUCGGGAAGUGGAGCUUUCUGAGUGGC